UGGCUCAGGACGAACGCUGGCGGCGUGCCUAAUACAUGCAAGUCGAACGGCUUUUCUAUGGAAGCUUGCUUCCACUGAGAAGAUAGUGGCGAACGGGUGAGUAACACGUGGGGUAACCUGCCCAUAAGAGGGGGAGUAACAUCCGGAAACGGGUGCUAAUACCGCAUAGUUUUCUUGAUCGCAUGAUCGGGAAAGGAAAGACGGCCUUUGUGCUGUCGCUUAUGGAUGGACCCGCGGCGUAUUAGUUAGUUGGUGAGGUAACGGCUCACCAAGACGAUGAUACGUAGCCGACCUGAGAGGGUGAUCGGCCACAUUGGGACUGAGACACGGCCCAAACUCCUACGGGAGGCAGCAGUAGGGAAUCUUCCGCAAUGGACGAAAGUCUGACGGAGCAACGCCGCGUGAGUGAAGAAAGGUUUUCGGAUCGUAAAACUCUGUUGUCAGAGAAGAACAAGUUGGAGAGUAACUGCUCCAGCCUUGACGGUAUCUGACCAGAAAGCCACGGCUAACUACGUGCCAGCCGCCGC
Molecule: ribosomal RNA, 527 nt
Filed under: uncultured bacterium
Lineage: Bacteria
Description: bacterial SSU rRNA
Rfam family: Bacterial small subunit ribosomal RNA
Source: RNAcentral